This 1116-nucleotide ribosomal RNA is filed under the name uncultured Oscillospiraceae bacterium. Its description in RNAcentral is "bacterial SSU rRNA". It matches the Rfam family "Bacterial small subunit ribosomal RNA", at positions 1 to 1129 of the family's 1533-position model. The record is from RNAcentral. Lineage: Bacteria; Bacillati; Bacillota; Clostridia; Eubacteriales; Oscillospiraceae.
UAGAGUUUGAUCCUGGCUCAGGACGAACGCUGGCGGCGUGCCUAACACAUGCAAGUCGAACGGAGCUAAAGAGCUUGCUUUUUAGCUUAGUGGCGGACGGGUGAGUAAUGCGUGAGCAACCUGCCUGUCAGUGGGGGAUAACUUCCGGAAACGGACGCUAAUACCGCAUACAGUACAUAAUCCGCAUGGGUAAGUGUAUGAAAGGAGCAAUCCGCUGAUAGAUGGGCUCACGUCCGAUUAGUUAGUUGGUGGGGUAACGGCCUACCAAGACUGCGAUCGGUAGCCGGGCUGAGAGGCUGAACGGCCACAUUGGGACUGAGACACGGCCCAGACUCCUACGGGAGGCAGCAGUGGGGGGAUAUUGCACAAUGGGGGAAACCCUGAUGCAGCAACGCCGCGUGAGGGAUGAAGGUUUUCGGAUUGUAAACCUCUGUCUUUAGUGAAGAACAAAAUGACGGUAACUAAGGAGGAAGCUCCGGCUAACUACGUGCCAGCAGCCGCGGUAAUACGUAGGGAGCGAGCGUUGUCCGGAUUUAUUGGGUGUAAAGGGUGCGUAGGCGGCUAUGUAAGUCAGACGUGUAAUGCAGAGGCUUAACCUCUGAACUGCGUUUGAAACUGUGUGGCUUGAGUGGAGUAGAGGCAGAUGGAAUUUCCAGUGUAGCGGUGAAAUGCGUAGAUAUUGGAAAGGAACACCAGUGGCGAAGGCGAUCUGCUGGGCUCUAACUGACGCUGAGGCACGAAAGCAUGGGGAGCAAACAGGAUUAGAUACCCUGGUAGUCCAUGCCGUAAACGAUGAUUACUAGGUGUGGGGGGACUGACCCCUUCCGUGCCGGAGUUAACACAAUAAGUAAUCCACCUGGGAAGUACGAUCGCAAGGUUGAAACUCAAAGGAAUUGACGGGGGCCCGCACAAGCAGUGGAGUAUGUGGUUUAAUUCGACGAUACGCGAAGAACCUUACCAGGUCUUGACAUCCAACUAACGAGGCAGAGAUGCAUUAGGUGCCCUUCGGGGAAAGUUGAGACAGGUGGUGCAUGGUUGUCGUCAGCUCGUGUCGUGAGAUGUUGGGUUAAGUCCCGCAACGAGCGCAACCCCUACGGUUAGUUGCUACGCAAGAGA